CAAGGCGGGUGCCGAGGUUUGCAAGGGCUCACAGUGGCCAGAAACCUGGCUCAGUGCGGUGGCAGCCCAGCUUCCACUGCCCGUGAGCUAAGGACAGUCCACUCCCUCUCGCUGGCUCCAAAUCCUGAUCCAGGCAGGGGCCAGAGGCCCCUCGCCUCCCCUCUGAGGACCGAAGAUGAGCUUCCUCUUCAGCAGCUGCUCUUCUAAAACAUUCAAACUGAAGAAGAAUAUCCCUGAAGGAUCUCAUCAGUAUGAACUCUUAAAACAUGCAGAAGCAACUCUAGGAAGUGAGAAUCUGAGACAAGCUGUUAUGUUGCCUGAGGGAGAGGAUCUCAAUGAAUGGAUUGCUGUAAAUACUGUGGAUUUCUUUAACCAGAUCAACAUGUUAUAUGGAACUAUUACAGAAUUCUGCACUGAAGCAAGCUGUCCAGUCAUGUCUGCAGGUCCAAGAUAUGAAUAUCACUGGGCAGAUGGUACUAAUAUUAAAAAGCCAAUCAAAUGUUCUGCACCAAAAUACACUAUUUGAUGACUUGGGUUCAGGAUCAUCUUGAUGAUGAAACUCUUUUUCCUUCUAAGAUUGGUGUCCCAUUUCCCAAGAACUUUAUGUCUGUGGCAAAGACUAUUCUAAAGCGUCUGUUCAGGGUUUAUGGCCAUAUUUAUCACCAGCACUUUGAUUCUGUGAUGCAGCUGCAAGAGGAGGCCCACCUCAACACCUCCUUUAAGCACUUUAUUUUCUUUGAUCAGGAAUUUAAUCUAAUUGAUAGGUGUGAGCUGGCCCCUCUUCAAGAAUUAAUAGAGGAAUUUGGAUCAAAAGACAGAUAAAUGUUUCUUCUAGAACACAGUUACCCUCUUGUUUCAUCUAUUGCUAGAACUAUCUCAUUGCUAUCUGUUAUAGACUAGUCAUGCAGACUUUAAGAAAACAGGAUUAAAAGAUACCCAUUGUCUGUGUCUACUGAUAAGAUUAUCCCAAAAGUAGGUUGGCAUGAUAGUUUCCAAGUAAGACCUUAAAGACACAGCCAAAUCUUAAGUACUGUGUGACCACUCCUGUUAUUAUCACAUAGGCAUACUUGGUUGUAAUAUGUGAUGGUUAACCUGUAGCUUAUAAAUUUACUUAUUAUUCUUUUACUCAUUUACUCAGUCAUUUCUUUACAAGAAAAUGAGUGAAUCUGUUUUAGGUGACAGCAUAAUGGACGUGAAGAAUUUCCAUCAAUAAUUUAUGAAUGAGUUUCCAGAACAAAUUUCUUAAUAACACUAUCAGAUUGGAUUUAUUCUUUUAUUUUACAAAUAAAAAAUGUAUUUUCAGUAAAAAAAA
Mandrillus leucophaeus (drill) is the source of this 1312-nucleotide RNA transcript. It is a transcript of the gene named MOB kinase activator 1A pseudogene, with no coding region annotated. The transcript has a single exon. Lineage: Eukaryota; Metazoa; Chordata; Mammalia; Primates; Cercopithecidae. The record is from RefSeq and is a predicted model, not a curated record.